Molecule: ribosomal RNA, 450 nt
Filed under: uncultured bacterium
Lineage: Bacteria
Description: partial 16S ribosomal RNA
Rfam family: Bacterial small subunit ribosomal RNA
Source: RNAcentral
GUGGGGAAUAUUGGACAAUGGGCGAAAGCCUGAUCCAGCCAUGCCGCGUGUGUGAAGAAGGUCUUCGGAUUGUAAAGCACUUUAAGUUGGGAGGAAGGGCAGUAAGUUAAUACCUUGCUGUUUUGACGUUACCGACAGAAUAAGCACCGGCUAACUUCGUGCCAGCAGCCGCGGUAAUACGAAGGGUGCAAGCGUUAAUCGGAAUUACUGGGCGUAAAGCGCGCGUAGGUGGUUUUGUAAGUUGGAGGUGAAAUCCCCGGGCUCAACCUGGGAACUGCCUCCGAAACUGCAUGACUAGAGUACGGUAGAGGGUAGUGGAAUUUCCUGUGUAGCGGUGAAAUGCGUAGAUAUAGGAAGGAACACCAGUGGCGAAGGCGACUACCUGGACUGAUACUGACACUGAGGUGCGAAAGCGUGGGGAGCAAACAGGAUUAGAAACCCGUGUAGUCC